RNAcentral lists this ribosomal RNA (497 nucleotides) under uncultured bacterium. Its description in RNAcentral is "partial 16S ribosomal RNA". It matches the Rfam family "Bacterial small subunit ribosomal RNA", at positions 28 to 507 of the family's 1533-position model. The record is from RNAcentral.
GACGAACGCUGGCGGCGUGCCUAAUACAUGCAAGUUGAGCGAUGAAGAUUGGUGCUUGCACCAAUUUGAAGAGCAGCGAACGGGUGAGUAACGCGUGGGGAAUCUGCCUUUGAGCGGGGGACAACAUUUGGAAACGAAUGCUAAUACCGCAUAACAACUUUAAACAUAAGUUUUAAGUUUGAAAGAUGCAAUUGCAUCACUCAAAGAUGAUCCCGCGUUGUAUUAGCUAGUUGGUGAGGUAAAGGCUCACCAAGGCGAUGAUACAUAGCCGACCUGAGAGGGUGAGCGGCCACAUUGGGACUGAGACACGGCCCAAACUCCUCCGGGAGGCAGCAGUAGGGAAUCUUCGGCAAUGGAGGAAAGUCUGGCCGAGCAACGCCGCGUGAGUGAAGAAGGGUUUCGGAUCGUAAAACUCUGUUGGUAGAGAAGAACGUUGGUGAGAGUGGAAAGCUCAUCAAGUGACGGUAACUACCCAGAAAGGGACGGCUAACUACGUG